RNAcentral lists this ribosomal RNA (94 nucleotides) under Rhodococcoides kroppenstedtii. The record is from RNAcentral. Lineage: Bacteria; Bacillati; Actinomycetota; Actinomycetes; Mycobacteriales; Nocardiaceae. RNAcentral also lists the same sequence under 2 other names.
AACGCCCGGACCCAUUCCGAACCCGGAAGCUAAGCCCUCCAGCGCCGAUGGUACUGCACCCGACAGGGUGUGGGAGAGUAGGACACCGCCGAAC